RNAcentral lists this ribosomal RNA (201 nucleotides) under uncultured bacterium. RNAcentral's name for it is "partial 16S ribosomal RNA". It matches the Rfam family "Bacterial small subunit ribosomal RNA", at positions 328 to 539 of the family's 1533-position model. The record is from RNAcentral.
ACGCUCGACACCUACGGGGAGGCAGCAGUGGGGAAUAUUGGGCAAUGGGCGCAAGCCUGACCCAGCAACGCCGCGUGAAGGAAGAAGGCUUUCGGGUUGUAAACUUCUUUUGUCAGGGAACAGUAGAAGAGGGUACCUGACGAAUAAGCCACGGCUAACUACGUGCCAACAGCCGCGGUAAUCUGAGCGGGCUGGCAAGGC